Molecule: ribosomal RNA, 2907 nt
Filed under: Providencia rettgeri
Lineage: Bacteria; Pseudomonadati; Pseudomonadota; Gammaproteobacteria; Enterobacterales; Morganellaceae
Description: 23S ribosomal RNA
Rfam family: Bacterial large subunit ribosomal RNA
Source: RNAcentral
UUAAGCGACUAAGCGUACACGGUGGAUGCCUAGGCAAUCAGAGGCGAUGAAGGACGUGCUAAUCUGCGAUAAGCGUCGGUAAGGUGAUAUGAACCGUUACAACCGACGAUUUCCGAAUGGGGAAACCCAGUGCAAUUCGUUGCACUAUCGUUUGAUGAAUACAUAGUCAAACGAAGCGAACCGGGGGAACUGAAACAUCUCAGUACCCCGAGGAAAAGAAAUCAACCGAGAUUCCCCUAGUAGCGGCGAGCGAACGGGGAGCAGCCCAGAGUCUUAAUCAGCAUUAGCAUCAGGAGAACGGUCUGGAAAGUCCGGCAGUAAAGGGUGAUAGCCCCGUAUCCGAAGGUGUUAGUGUUGUGAACUCGACGAGUAGGGCGGGACACGUGUUAUCCUGUCUGAAUAUGGGGGGACCAUCCUCCAAGGCUAAAUACUCCUGAUUGACCGAUAGUGAACCAGUACCGUGAGGGAAAGGCGAAAAGAACCCCGGCGAGGGGAGUGAAAUAGAACCUGAAACCGUGUACGUACAAGCAGUGGGAGCCUUGAUUUAUCAGGGUGACUGCGUACCUUUUGUAUAAUGGGUCAGCGACUUAUAUUCUGUAGCAAGGUUAACCGUAUAGGGGAGCCGUAGGGAAACCGAGUCUUAACUGGGCGAAUAAGUUGCAGGGUAUAGACCCGAAACCCGGUGAUCUAGCCAUGGGCAGGUUGAAGGUUGGGUAACACUAACUGGAGGACCGAACCGACUAAUGUUGAAAAAUUAGCGGAUGACUUGUGGCUGGGGGUGAAAGGCCAAUCAAACCGGGAGAUAGCUGGUUCUCCCCGAAAGCUAUUUAGGUAGCGCCUCGUGAACUCAUCUUCGGGGGUAGAGCACUGUUUCGACUAGGGGGUCAUCCCGACUUACCAACUCGAUGCAAACUACGAAUACCGAAGAAUGUUAUCACGGGAGACACACGGCGGGUGCUAACGUUCGUCGUGAAGAGGGAAACAACCCAGACCGCCAGCUAAGGUCCCAAAGUCAUAGUUAAGUGGGAAACGAAGUGGGAAGGCUCAGACAGCCAGGAUGUUGGCUUAGAAGCAGCCAUCAUUUAAAGAAAGCGUAAUAGCUCACUGGUCGAGUCGGCCUGCGCGGAAGAUGUAACGGGGCUAAACUAUGCACCGAAGCUGCGGCAGCGAUAUUUAGAUAUUGUUGGGUAGGGGAGCGUUCUGUAAGCCUGUGAAGGUGUGCUGUGAGGCAUGCUGGAGGUAUCAGAAGUGCGAAUGCUGACAUAAGUAACGAUAAUGCGGGUGAAAAACCCGCACGCCGGAAGACCAAGGGUUCCUGUCCAACGUUAAUCGGGGCAGGGUGAGUCGACCCCUAAGGCGAGGCAGAAAUGCGUAGUCGAUGGGAAACGGGUUAAUAUUCCCGUACUGGUGAUAAUUGCGAUGGGGGGACGGAGAAGGCUAGGCUAUCCGGGCGACGGUUGUCCCGGUUUAAGGAUGUAGGCAGGUGAAUUAGGCAAAUCCGGUUCACUAUAUGCUGAGGUCCGAUGACGAGUCACUACGGUGAUGAAGUAGCUCAUGCCCCGCUUCCAGGAAAAGCCUCUAAGCUCUAGAUUAUCAUUAAUCGUACCCCAAACCGACACAGGUGGUCAGGUAGAGAAUACUCAGGCGCUUGAGAGAACUCGGGUGAAGGAACUAGGCAAAAUGGUGCCGUAACUUCGGGAGAAGGCACGCUGGCAUUAGGUGAAGUGAUUUACUCAUGGAGCUGAAGCCAGUCGCAGAUACCAGCUGGCUGCAACUGUUUAUUAAAAACACAGCACUGUGCAAACACGAAAGUGGACGUAUACGGUGUGACGCCUGCCCGGUGCUGGAAGGUUAAUUGAUGGGGUUAUCCGUAAGGAGAAGCUCUUGAUCGAAGCCCCAGUAAACGGCGGCCGUAACUAUAACGGUCCUAAGGUAGCGAAAUUCCUUGUCGGGUAAGUUCCGACCUGCACGAAUGGCGUAAUGAUGGCCAGGCUGUCUCCACCCGAGACUCAGUGAAAUUGAACUCGCUGUGAAGAUGCAGUGUACCCGCGGCAAGACGGAAAGACCCCGUGAACCUUUACUAUAGCUUGACACUGAACAUUGAGCCUUGAUGUGUAGGAUAGGUGGGAGGCUUUGAAGCGUGGACGCCAGUCUGCGUGGAGCCAACCUUGAAAUACCACCCUUUAAUGUUUGAUGUUCUAACGUUGCCCCAUUAUCUGGGGUGCGGACAGUGUCUGGUGGGUAGUUUGACUGGGGCGGUCUCCUCCCAAAGAGUAACGGAGGAGCACGAAGGUUGGCUAAGCAUGGUCGGACAUCAUGCGGUUAGUGCAAAGGCAUAAGCCAGCUUGACUGCGAGAGUGACGGCUCGAGCAGGUACGAAAGUAGGUCUUAGUGAUCCGGUGGUUCUGAAUGGAAGGGCCAUCGCUCAACGGAUAAAAGGUACUCCGGGGAUAACAGGCUGAUACCGCCCAAGAGUUCAUAUCGACGGCGGUGUUUGGCACCUCGAUGUCGGCUCAUCACAUCCUGGGGCUGAAGUAGGUCCCAAGGGUACGGCUGUUCGCCGUUUAAAGUGGUACGCGAGCUGGGUUUAGAACGUCGUGAGACAGUUCGGUCCCUAUCUGCCGUGGGCGUUGGAAGAUUGAAAGGGGCUGCUCCUAGUACGAGAGGACCGGAGUGGACGCACCACUGGUGUUCGGGUUGUCAUGCCAAUGGCAUUGCCCGGUAGCUAAGUGCGGAAGAGAUAACCGCUGAAAGCAUCUAAGCGGGAAACUUGCCUUGAGAUGAGUCUUCCCUGACUCUUUAAGGGUCCUAAAGGAACGUUUAAGACUAAGACGUUGAUAGGUUGGGUGUGUAAGCGUAGCGAUACGUUGAGCUAACCAAUACUAAUGAACCGUGAGGCUUAACCUG